GAGUCACCUAUUGUAUGAUUCCAUUUAUAUGAAAUAUCCAAAAUAGCUGUCCUGGGUGGCAUGAGAACCAUGGGCUGAGGAUUGGACAAGCUUGCUCUACAAUAUUCACAGGCCACAGAUCAGCCCUGGGGUUCAGAGGGAUCCUGACAGCUACUCCUCAAGAUCCUCUCUGUUGUGAUUCAUCCCCCCGGGGCCCUACAGUUUCUCCUUCCUGACUCUUACAUUUCUUUGGAUGGCAUCAUUAUUGCUGGAGUGCAGUGAUGUGAUCUCGGCUCACUGCAACCCCUGCCUCCUGGAUUCAAGCAAUUCUCCUGCCUCACCCUCCCAAGUAGCUGGGAUUACAGUACCUGUCUCCUCCCAUAGUUAGGUGCCAAGCACUGUGGAUUCUGCCUCUCAGUGUCCAGACACCCAUUUUCCUUCCCACUGUUCCUUCCCCAUGGAGAAGCCUGUGGCUGGCUGACAGCAGAGAGAGAUGCUCAACUUGGAGAAGGUGUUACCUGGGCCAGGUGGGGAAGGUUUGUUUGCAGAGCAAAGAAGUGAAGGAAGUAUUAACCCUUUGCAUGGCCUCCUGAGAAUCCGACAAGACGUAAAUAGCCAAGAAUAUCUGUGAAACUUCAUCACUGAGUUACAAUAUUUAUCACUGCAAGUGUGUUGUUCAUUGACACUAUAAAGCCAUGUGGAAUUAAGCAGCCUUGAAACACAAAAUGGAGAAAGGCUAAGAGCUGAGAAUUGUUGCCUUCAGGGAAAUACAAUCAAUGUCAAGCAAACAACCACCCC
This 777-nucleotide long non-coding RNA is filed under the name Homo sapiens (human). RNAcentral's name for it is "MYO3B antisense RNA 1". The record is from RNAcentral. Lineage: Eukaryota; Metazoa; Chordata; Mammalia; Primates; Hominidae.